This 895-nucleotide ribosomal RNA is filed under the name Enterococcus faecium. Its description in RNAcentral is "bacterial SSU rRNA". It matches the Rfam family "Bacterial small subunit ribosomal RNA", at positions 1 to 870 of the family's 1533-position model. Lineage: Bacteria; Bacillati; Bacillota; Bacilli; Lactobacillales; Enterococcaceae. The record is from RNAcentral.
UUUUUAUUGGUUUUUUUCGUCAGGACGAACGCUGGCGGCGUGCGUAAUACAUGCAAGUCGUACGCUUCUUUUUCCACCGGAGCUUGCUCCACCGGAAAAAGAGGAGUGGCGAACGGGUGAGUAACACGUGGGUAACCUGCCCAUCAGAAGGGGAUAACACUUGGAAACAGGUGCUAAUACCGUAUAACAAUCGAAACCGCAUGGUUUUGAUUUGAAAGGCGCUUUCGGGUGUCGCUGAUGGAUGGACCCGCGGUGCAUUAGCUAGUUGGUGAGGUAACGGCUCACCAAGGCCACGAUGCAUAGCCGACCUGAGAGGGUGAUCGGCCACAUUGGGACUGAGACACGGCCCAAACUCCUACGGGAGGCAGCAGUAGGGAAUCUUCGGCAAUGGACGAAAGUCUGACCGAGCAACGCCGCGUGAGUGAAGAAGGUUUUCGGAUCGUAAAACUCUGUUGUUAGAGAAGAACAAGGAUGAGAGUAACUGUUCAUCCCUUGACGGUAUCUAACCAGAAAGCCACGGCUAACUACGUGCCAGCAGCCGCGGUAAUACGUAGGUGGCAAGCGUUGUCCGGAUUUAUUGGGCGUAAAGCGAGCGCAGGCGGUUUCUUAAGUCUGAUGUGAAAGCCCCCGGCUCAACCGGGGAGGGUCAUUGGAAACUGGGAGACUUGAGUGCAGAAGAGGAGAGUGGAAUUCCAUGUGUAGCGGUGAAAUGCGUAGAUAUAUGGAGGAACACCAGUGGCGAAGGCGGCUCUCUGGUCUGUAACUGACGCUGAGGCUCGAAAGCGUGGGGAGCAAACAGGAUUAGAUACCCUGGUAGUCCACGCCGUAAACGAUGAGUGCUAAGUGUUGGAGGGUUUCCGCCCUUCAGUGCUGCAGCUAACGCAUUAAGCACUCC